UACGUAGGGUGCAAGCGUUGUCCGGAAUUAUUGGGCGUAAAGAGCUCGUAGGCGGCUUGUUGCGUCGACUGUGAAAACCCGCGGCUUAACCGCGGGCCUGCAGUUGAUACGGGCAGGCUAGAGUUCGGUAGGGGAGACUGGAAUUCCUGGUGUAGCGGUGAAAUGCGCAGAUAUCAGGAGGAACACCGGUGGCGAAGGCGGCGUUCUGGACUGCAACUGACACUGAAAAACGAAAGCCAGGGGAGCAAACGGG
Molecule: ribosomal RNA, 253 nt
Filed under: uncultured bacterium
Lineage: Bacteria
Description: partial 16S ribosomal RNA
Rfam family: Bacterial small subunit ribosomal RNA
Source: RNAcentral